GCCACAUCAACAUUUUAUAUUGAUUUUUUUAUAGAGAUAAUAAGACAAAAAGAAAUAGUAAUAUAAAAUAUUGAUGUGGCUUAACCGUGACCGCACAAAUAUGAGGGGAUGAGAGUGUAUGGAAAGUGGGAUGGCAAAGAAGCCAGGUCCCUUUAAAGAAUACAAUGUUUACAAACAUAUAUAGUAUAAGUUGCAUCGUAUCACAUACAAAAAAUAUGUAAAAAAAAAAAUACAUUAUCAAAUAAAGAUUUUUUUUGUCAUUUGUAUUAUAUUCUGUCAAACUCAUAUAUAGCUUACACAACUUAUUAAGCUAAAACAAAAAACCAACGGUUAGGUCUUUCCUUAAUUAUUCAUUAGUAAGAAUAUAAAAUUAAUUGCAUAUUAUUUGCAAAAAAAAAAAAGAAUCUUUGGUUGAUGGUUAAAAUUUGAUAUGUGGAUCGAUGUGGCCCUCUUCGCAGGAUAAACACGUUGCCAUCAUUUUUCAUGUGAGUAUUGUACUCGUCAUCUGGCCAUUACAUGCAAGAAUCCCGCCUUUGUAGAGUCUUAUUAAUUUGUUACAACUUCAAGGGUUGGUCGGAUUUGAACCACCGGGUGGGGCAGAACCCUUCUGCAGUACUUGCUUGAUAAUCAAAUUCAUAGGGAAGUUGUAUUUGACAGUAGUACCCCUAUCCCUAAUUUGUAGAACAUCCUCCUUCAUCAUCAUGAGUUUCUCUUUACCCUGCAAAACUCUACAGGCCUCGAGUGAGUGCGUGUUCACAAGAAACACCACUACCAUGGCCACCAAAAGCAUAUUCAAAAACUUCAUGUUGUUCCUUGUUUGGCAAUAAUAAUUUUUCUUUUUUCUUUCUUUCUCUGUAUGCAAUGCAAACAAGGAGAUGGAGAACGAAUGAAUGAAUUAUAGAGGACUAUAGAGCUCUCUAUAUAUAUGGACCAACUUCUAUUAUGAGUUGAAUUUUCCAAUAAUAUUUUAUGAAGCUAUUCUUUGUUUUCACUAUUGAGUCAAAAGGUCAGAUAUUGAAUGAGUCAUACAAUUACGAGAAGAAACUGGGUUGUACAAAAAAAUAAAUAAAGAAAUAUAUAUAUAUAUAUAUAUGUAAAAUCACCUCAGAAAAUUCCAUAUCAUUUCGAUCGUUAUUAUACAUUGUAUUUAACUAUAUAUACAUGGAAAUAUCUCGCAAUAUUAUAUGGAAUAAGGUAAUAGU
RNAcentral lists this long non-coding RNA (1202 nucleotides) under Malus domestica (apple). Its description in RNAcentral is "long non-coding RNA (MDOM_LNC009510)". The record is from RNAcentral. Lineage: Eukaryota; Viridiplantae; Streptophyta; Magnoliopsida; Rosales; Rosaceae.